Molecule: non-coding RNA, 21 nt
Filed under: Arabidopsis thaliana (thale cress)
Lineage: Eukaryota; Viridiplantae; Streptophyta; Magnoliopsida; Brassicales; Brassicaceae
Source: RNAcentral
AUUAGUUCUGGUGUAUCUUGC